RNAcentral lists this ribosomal RNA (1101 nucleotides) under uncultured bacterium. RNAcentral's name for it is "bacterial SSU rRNA". It matches the Rfam family "Bacterial small subunit ribosomal RNA", at positions 28 to 1125 of the family's 1533-position model. The record is from RNAcentral.
GAUGAACGCCUAGCGGCAGGCUUAACACAUGCAAGUCGAGGGGCAGCAUAAUGGUAGCAAUACUAUUGAUGGCGACCGGCGGACGGGUGCGUAACGCGUAUGCAACCUACCCUUUACAGGGGGAUAACACUGAGAAAUCGGUACUAAUACCCCAUAAUAUUCUGGGAGGCAUCUUUCGGAGUUGAAAGCUUUGGUGGUAAAGGAUGGGCAUGCGUUGUAUUAGCUAGUUGGUAAGGUAACGGCUUACCAAGGCGACGAUACAUAGGGGGACUGAGAGGUUAACCCCCCACAUUGGUACUGAGACACGGACCAAACUCCUACGGGAGGCAGCAGUGAGGAAUAUUGGUCAAUGGACGGAAGUCUGAACCAGCCAUGCCGCGUGCAGGAAGACGGCUCUAUGAGUUGUAAACUGCUUUUGUACGAGGGUAAACGCAGAUACGCGUAUCUGCCUGAAAGUAUCGUACGAAUAAGGAUCGGCUAACUCCGUGCCAGCAGCCGCGGUAAUACGGAGGAUCCAAGCGUUAUCCGGAUUUAUUGGGUUUAAAGGGUGCGUAGGCGGUUUAGUAAGUCAGCGGUGAAAUUUUGGUGCUUAACACCAAACGUGCCGUUGAUACUGCUGGGCUAGAGAGUAGUUGCGGUAGGCGGAAUGUAUGGUGUAGCGGUGAAAUGCUUAGAGAUCAUACAGAACACCGAUUGCGAAGGCAGCUUACCAAACUAUAUCUGACGUUGAGGCACGAAAGCGUGGGGAGCAAACAGGAUUAGAUACCCUGGUAGUCCACGCAGUAAACGAUGAUAGCUCGUUGUCGGCGAUACACAGUCGGUGACUAAGAGAAAUCGAUAAGCUAUCCACCUGGGGAGUACGUUCGCAAGAAUGAAACUCAAAGGAAUUGACGGGGGCCCGCACAAGCGGAGGAACAUGUGGUUUAAUUCGAUGAUACGCGAGGAACCUUACCCGGGCUUGAAAGUUACUGACGAUUCUGGAAACAGGAUUUCCCUUCGGGGCAGGAAACUAGGUGCUGCAUGGUUGUCGUCAGCUCGUGCCGUGAGGUGUCGGGUUAAGUCCCAUAACGAGCGCAACCCCUACUGAUAGUUGCCAUCAGA